Molecule: transfer RNA, 71 nt
Filed under: Phrynosoma platyrhinos (Desert horned lizard)
Lineage: Eukaryota; Metazoa; Chordata; Lepidosauria; Squamata; Phrynosomatidae
Description: tRNA-OTHER
Source: RNAcentral
GCCAGUGUGGCACAGUGGUUUGAGUGCUGGACUAUGACUCUGGAGACUAGGGUUUGAUUCCUAGCUUGACC